GCCCCCGUGGCGGAAUGGUAGACGCUGCGGACUUAAAAUCCGUUGACUUCGGUCGUGCCAGUUCAAGUCUGGCCGGGGGCACCA
This 84-nucleotide transfer RNA is filed under the name Alphaproteobacteria bacterium. RNAcentral describes it as "tRNA-Leu". It matches the Rfam family "tRNA". From Rfam's summary of the family: Transfer RNA (tRNA) molecules are approximately 80 nucleotides in length. Their secondary structure includes four short double-helical elements and three loops (D, anti-codon, and T loops). The record is from RNAcentral. Lineage: Bacteria; Pseudomonadati; Pseudomonadota; Alphaproteobacteria.